RNAcentral lists this ribosomal RNA (468 nucleotides) under uncultured bacterium. RNAcentral describes it as "partial 16S ribosomal RNA". It matches the Rfam family "Bacterial small subunit ribosomal RNA", at positions 28 to 507 of the family's 1533-position model. The record is from RNAcentral.
GACGAACGCUGGCGGCGUGCUUAACACAUGCAAGUCGAACGGAUAGGCCCCGGUUUUGUGGGGUGCUCGAGUGGCGAACGGGUGAGUAACACGUGAGUAACCUGCCCUUGACUUUGGGAUAACUUCAGGAAACUGGGGCUAAUACCGGAUACGAGCACGUUCCGCAUGGUGGGGGUGGGGAAAUUUCGGCGGUUGGGGAUGGGCUCGCGGCUUAUCAGCUUGUUGGUGGGGUAGUGGCUUACCAAGGCUUCGACGGGUAGCCGGCCUGAGAGGGUGACCGGCCACACUGGGACUGAGACACGGCCCAGACUCCUACGGGAGGCAGCAGUGGGGAAUAUUGCACAAUGGGCGAAAGCCUGAUGCAGCGACGCCGCGUGCGGGAUGACGGCCUUCGGGUUGUAAACCGCUUUCGCCUGUGACGAAGCGCAAGUGACGGUACUUGCUAAAGAAGCACCGGCUAACUACGUG